CGGGAACCAAUAAUUUCUCGGUGGUCGUAUACUCGUAAUAAAAUUAAUUACAUUGGUGACACACGUCAUUCAUUAGUAUCAUUCUACGUGCAACCAACUACUUAGGCAAAAUGUAUUCUCUUAAAUGUAAAUGUACGUGUCCGAGGAAAUGCGCUAAGUUGUCGUUUUAGUCGUGCUGUCCGAUUAUGUCUAUCCGAAAAUUUGCUAGUCAGAUAAACACGCGAAGUCUCGUUGGUAAAUGCCUGUUAGAAAAAUAUAGAUUAUUGUUAUUAUGUGGGAUAUGUAUGGAUUAUAUCAUUAGAUAGGCAUGUUUUCCUAUCAGGUCGGGCUAUUGUCUAUCUAAAUUCAUUGUUGUAUGGAUUACCGAUUACAAAUUGUUUGUACCCGGAAAUUGUUGUUGUUUACUACAUAGGAACGAUAACUACGGUUUCAAUACUCAUGUUUAGGCCAGGAUAAAGGCUGUUUAUGCAGUAAGGAAGGAAAGUUGUGAACAGUCAGUAAAUAAAAAUGGACAAUAUACCAAGCACAAAUGGUAUACCAAGCACAAAUGGAAGGAGUACAAACAAUAUUUUAAACCAUUACGUGAUGCCUGUUUAACACGGAUAUACAUACAAGCUAAAUUACUUAGCUAGUCAAGUGGAUUGUAUAAAUCAAAUUUAUCCAGAGCCUCUGGGAAUGUGGAAUAGAAACUUGAAAGCAACAAGUUUAGAAACUAGAAUGACUUUAAUUAAUAACAGCUACAAAUGUCACAAUAAUUGUUUUAACAUGAACUUUCCAUUUGAUCCAUCACAAAGCAGGAAAAUUCACAAAUGCUGGAAUCCUAAAACUUAUAUACAAAUUAGACACACCUUGUCUAUUGGGACAGGCCUUGUCACAAACAAACAGUAAUUGCCUGUAACAAAACUAGGAGACAUACAAAAGGAAUUGUUCAAAAAAUAUCAGCUGCGUGGCACUUACCAGGACAUUAGCUUAGUAUGUCAUGACAGGACAGUGAGUAAGAUGACAAUAUUACAAUAGCAAGAGGAGAAAUAUAAAUAUACUCUCUUAUAGUAAUAUGUAUUACUUUUUGUUUGCAAAAGUGUUUUAAUAACUUGUAACACUAACAUGUGUAACAGAAAACACUAAUAUAUGUAAUAUAAGUAAUUAAGCCGAGACUGGAAAGAUGUUUGUUCAAAUGUAGUUUUAUCAAUAGACUUACGCAAAUGGAAACCAAGAAGCAGUCAGCUCCUUAAUAUCGAAGAACAAUUAAUCAGGGGAUGUCUCAGUAAUGGUCUUCACAUAAACAUAAAACACUUUUUCAGCAGUGACAAUAUUAUUCCAUGCUUCAUUUAGGGGAUGUUCAGUUGCAAUGAUACUGGUUAUAUUGUGUGAAUUAGCCAUAUUUUGUUUUUACAUGUUGAAAGUUGCAUAAAUAGUGCAAUGAAUUUGGGCAGUAUGAACUUUGAGCAAUCAAUGUUUCCUAAAUUCAACUGAUGUACUUUUAUAUGUUAUAUAAAUUGCAUAGUCAGCCAGGUCAUGUAAUCCAACGCUUUCCCGUACUUUUCUCUCAAAGAGUUUUUAGGGUUUUGGUGCGCGGAUUACAAAUAAAACUUGUACAUGAUUUUAUUUUGCUUAUUCUCUGUUCAUUGCACUAUUUACUGUUUAUGCCACGAAGAACUAACUUGUUCAUAAUAAGUUAUUCUGAUUCAUGUCAUUCACAUUACCGUCUAUGUUACAUAUUUUGGAUGGACUUUUACAUAUUUAUGUUUUAGGACCAUGUUAGACUGGCUUUAGCCAAAUACGCUAUUCUACUUUAUAAAAAAAAAAAGUUACUGAUUUGAAUAUGAAAUCAUUCUGAUAUUUAUCCUUUUCCUGGAAAAAUGUUUUACGAAGUUUCAGUUCUAUAUAUAAUUGGAAACAUUAUUUCUUAUGAUUCUGUUGUUACCUCUGAAUGUAUUGAGUAGAAAAUGAAAAGAUAAAUGCAAUGAUUUAACUUUUAAGAUUAAGUAAACUAUUAUAUACAUUAAUUUAGGAUUCUGUCGCACUGAUAAGGAUCUCCAACUGACAUCGAGUAAGCAUGUGUAUUUACCAUCACUUAUCCAAUUCAAGCCUAAAUUCAUCUCAUUGAUACGUUGAAUCUUGUAGAUUUUAACUUUAGUAUACUACGGGUGACUACAGUCGCAAUGCUGCUUGUCCUUGGUAACUUGGGUGGCUGUGGUCACAAUGCUCCUUAAGUAGUUUAAGUUUUUGGCGUCUACAUGCUAAAUUUGCCAGGAGUUAAUUUACCUAAAUCAAACAUUUGAGUGGAUAAGGCAGUUUUUGCAGUGAUAAUUGAGAUCUUGUAGAUUUCAACUUGCUGUACUAUGGGUGACUGUGGUCACAAUGCUCCUUAGGUAUUUUGGGUUGUCGUCUACACCCUUAAAUUAUCCUAACUGCUUUUGCCUAAAUCCGAUUAACAUUUUUGUUAAUAAGGUGUAUGUUAUUGUCAUAAUACAACUAAACGGGGAUAAUGUUACAACACACGGGUUAGUUUCAUAGCAGGAGAGAUGUAUGCUACUAUGGCAGUUUUAAGUGUGACAACUUUUUCUACGGUUGUAUGUUGUUGUGGUUGUGAUGUAUUCUGCUAGGUCGGUUGACAGUAUAUCGAACCAUUGGUUGCUUGUCUGUUGUUAAAGUGAUACUAACAGCUAGCUCUGUUAACACUUUAGUGUGUUAACCGCUAGGUCAGUUAAAUUGUGUUAACCGCUAGGUCGGUUAAAGUGUGUUAACCGCUAGGUCGGUUAAAGUGUGUUAACCGCUAGGUCGGUUUAAAGUGUGUUAACCGCUAGGUCGGUUUAAAGUGUUAACCGCUAGGUCGGUUAAAGUGUGUUAACCGCUAGGUCGGUUAAAGUGUGUUAACCGCUAGGUCGGUUAUAGUGUGUUAACAGCUGUGUCGAUUUAAAGUGUGUUACCGCUAUGUCGGUUAACGGAUAGGUCAGUUUACUGUGUGAACUAGGUUUUGCCCAUUACUACGUAGCGUAAUUCCUAGUUUCACAAGUCCGCAGUCUGCAGUUGCUAUUUUAAUCAAUUUAUUGAAAACAUGCGCUUGCUUGCUCGUCAGUCAGUCAGUUGGCCUGAUAUCAUGCGGCCUUUUCUGCCACUUAUUAAUAUGAUUGAUAUACAAUUUUGUUCAAUACCCUUUGGUGUAACUUGUUUGUAUGUUGAAGUGUUGACCUGGAAUAAAGUGUUAUCGCUU
Mercenaria mercenaria is the source of this 3214-nucleotide long non-coding RNA. RefSeq lists it as uncharacterized. NCBI's taxonomy places the organism in Eukaryota, Metazoa, Mollusca, Bivalvia, Venerida, Veneridae. The record is from RefSeq and is a predicted model, not a curated record. The transcript has 2 exons.